UAUUACUGGGAAAGUGUCCUAAAUUCACCCAGUGAGCUGCAAGGCUGCAUCUGUGUGGCCUAUAGCUUACAGCAUGAGAAGGAGGGGAGACAAACAAGCCAAGCCAGCUGUUCCCAACCUACUUCCUAUAAUAGGUGGAGUGCUGUGGUGCUUAGGCAUGGGGACUGGUGAACCAGUUUAGGAGGAAAGGUGGCAACAGGUGCAGAUGGAGGCAGAGAAAUGAGGAAUACUAUGUGUAGGAGUCCAGGAGAGCACACUUGCUCACAACAGCCUUGUGGAGUAGACUAGGCCAAGAAAGGAAUAUCACCCACUGAACUUCAUAGCAGACACAAGAGCUGAACCAAUGGACUGUUUUCUGGACUGUGGAUUGCCAUCUUACGUUGUUUGCAAGACAUGGCAUACAUUCCUAGAGCUGAAAAGAUUAGAUCAUCAAGUCCAAUCACACUGGACCCUCCAGGCGAAGCUCUAUCCUUCAAGCUCCGGCUGAUACCAUGGAGAAUGACCGCAUGAGUGCUUGAUAAAAUGUCAAGAUGCCAUUAUUUCCAGGAGAGUGUUUGGGAGCAAUAAGGUCCCCUUCCAUUUAUCUCAACCAGCUGACUUUAAGGCUUUACUAUUCCACUUCCUGGAUGCACCAGAAGGAAGACUUUCCAUCCCCAAAUGGCCCUUCCGUAAUGUUAUGUAGAUGGGUUAUAACAACAGUGCCGGCACAGUGACAUUUAUGCCGUACUUCAAGAAACAAUAUUUGGGAUUUAAUUAAUCAUGCACACAAACAAGAGUUUAUGGCUGAUAAUAACUGUGUUUUGAGCCACUUGAAAAUAUCAUUGGCAAGAAAGGAAGAAAAAAAUAAGCAAGGCAAGGCAGACGGUGGGAACUCCAUGUGCCACGACAGCAGAAGAGACAGAUUUGCAUGAAGUCCCAGCAAAUUUUCAAGCACAGUCUCGAGACCUUUUCCAAAUCUUGUCAUUUUACUGAGUUGGUGUCAGGUGGUGGUGGUGGGGAAGAGAAUAAAUAAAGUAAUUCAGGGUGUGGGGAGGAAAACCCACCAUGAAUCAUUUGCCAUUUAAGUUACGCUCUAAGCAGACUUCUCCCUUUAAAUCUAGCAUGACAAAAGAUCCAUUUCUUACAUUGUUCUUAUCCCACCUUUUCUCCAAAGAGGUCAAAGUGGCACACCCAUUGUCCUUCCCGUCAUCCAUUUUCAUCAUCACAAGUGCCCUGUGAGGUAGGCUGAGGGGAAAUGCGUGGCCCAAAGCCACAUAGUAAGUUUUGUGGAUGAAAAUAAAUUCAAACACAAGUAUCCACGCUCUGGAGUCCAACAUUCUAAAAGAAGCUGCAGGUAUUCAGGUAUUGCACUGGUAUUGAGUCCCCUCUCUGCAAUGAGAAACUGGUCAUGGGGAAGUGAAUCUGGCACUGGAACUUCAAAUGGAGGUUUAUAUUGUAAACGUGCAUACUACAUUCCAUUGUGCUUUCUCAGUAUGCAUGUGCACAAGAGAGAGAGAGAGAUCAUUACAAUGUACUUUGCAUGUUUUUUUCUGGGCACCUUGGAAAUGGGUGUGGGGUUGAGCCCGUGGUUGUCAUAUUCUGGGCCAAUGCCAGAUCCCACCAAAGACAACCACAAGGCUGGUCAAAGGUUGCUAGACCAUGGACAGUUCCAAGUGAGCAAACAUACUCCAUCAAAGGUUGGGAGCAGACUACGGCCUGUUAAGCCUCUGUCUCCGGACUCCCUCCUCCCAGGCUCCACCCCCUUGUAGAAUACAUCAGAGCCUUAAAGGGCCAGUCUUCUGGCAUGAAGACAGGCAGUCCUCCUCUAUUCUAUAGCCUCCCUCCUGGUGUGCUUCCUACGCAGCCAGACUGGUGAUGUGUGGUGGGAAGCAUCUGGUUCUUCAUGCUCAGAGGAAGGUGCCCAUGAAGGUCCAGGCUCUGGCUUUAUAGGCUCUGGGAGGUUCCUCUGAGGGCUCCUGUCCAACAGCUGCAGGCGCAAUGGUCUCCCUAUCUUCAGCACUCAGCUCUGAGUCCUGAAUCUGCCCUUGGUCCCCAUCAGGCAGCCCUGGAGCCUCUGACUCUGUGUGUGGAUCACUGCUAGAUAUGGGUCAUGGCAGUGCUCAUACCUGAAGCACAGAAACCCAAAUGUUCAUUCUGAUUAUCUCCCAGAGUGGGAUCGCAUGACAAUGUAUUUUGCACCUUUCCUUCUCCCUCUCAAAACAUGUGCACCAGUUGAGGUGAUGUGGAGGUAAUGUUUGGGGAAGGGUCAUAGGUCAUGGGGAAGGGCCGUAGCUCAGUGGUAGCACAUCUGCCUUACAUGCAGAAGGUCCAGGUUCAAUCCCUGACAUCUCCAGGUAGGUCUAGAAGAGAAUCCUGUCUGAAAUCCUGGAGAGCCACUGCCGGUUAGUGUAGACUAUACUGAGCUAGUUGGACCAAUGGUUUGAGCUGGUAUAAGUCGGGGUCCUAUGAUACUAUGUUCAAGCAUUAAACAUAGUUAUGUGAAUGCUGCUUUAAAAAAACAAAAACAAGUCAUGGGGACUUCUUAUCUGGACUGGAACCAAGGCAGACGUCAUGAGCCCCAUGGUGAGGAAGAACCUGGGAUCCAGGGGUGGGGCCCAGUGAUCUAACAGUGAUGAAUGAGGAUACCAGGGAGGGGCCAAGUUAUCUACCCAUCAACGAGCUCCUCCCCUGAGAUUUCAGCUGACCUGGAUGAAGGGGUCGAGUUGUCAGUCCGUCCCCUUACCCAGCCUCCAAUGGUCAUUCCACUGACCUGUCUCCACAGGAGAGGAUGCUGGAGUUGGAGUCAUGGGGUGAUCUGUUCAAGUCAUCUCUGCCUCCGUCACCAUGGACUUGCCAGAGGAUGUGCAGGUGCAAACAGACUGGGCCCAUUAACCAGCCCAGUAGGAGUGCCAGUUUGCUUGCUUGGUCCUGAGCUGGGAAAGAAGUCUUGUGCAAAUAAUUGUGCCCAUGAGGGAGUGC
Rhineura floridana is the source of this 2958-nucleotide long non-coding RNA. RefSeq lists it as uncharacterized. The record is from RefSeq and is a predicted model, not a curated record. NCBI's taxonomy places the organism in Eukaryota, Metazoa, Chordata, Lepidosauria, Squamata, Rhineuridae. The transcript is spliced from 4 exons.